GUCUGUGCCAGGGUCAAGUCUGUACUGAUUUUCAUGGUGACUAGAUUACAUGCUCGCAUUCAUGUUCACUUCCGAAGCGCUUCCUUCCUUCCUUCCCUCCCCCCCCCCCCCAAAUCCAUAUUAACCUCAGAUACCC
Molecule: long non-coding RNA, 136 nt
Filed under: Sphenodon punctatus (tuatara)
Lineage: Eukaryota; Metazoa; Chordata; Lepidosauria; Sphenodontia; Sphenodontidae
Description: HOXA11 antisense RNA 1 conserved region 2 (ENSSPUG00000016091.1)
Rfam family: HOXA11 antisense RNA 1 conserved region 2 (bases 1-120)
Source: RNAcentral